This 253-nucleotide ribosomal RNA is filed under the name uncultured bacterium. RNAcentral's name for it is "partial 16S ribosomal RNA". It matches the Rfam family "Bacterial small subunit ribosomal RNA", at positions 524 to 776 of the family's 1533-position model. The record is from RNAcentral.
UACGAAGGGGGCUAGCGUUGCUCGGAAUCACUGGGCGUAAAGCGCACGUAGGCGGGUCUUUAAGUCAGGGGUGAAAUCCUGGAGCUCAACUCCAGAACUGCCUUUGAUACUGAGGAUCUCGAGUCCGGGAGAGGUGAGUGGAACUCCGAGUGUAGAGGUGAAAUUCGUAGAUAUUCGGAAGAACACCAGUGGCGAAGGCGGCUCACUGGCCCGGUACUGACGCUGAGGCACGAAAGCGUGGGGAGCAAACAGG